This 51-nucleotide ribosomal RNA is filed under the name Monochaetia camelliae. RNAcentral's name for it is "partial 28S ribosomal RNA". The record is from RNAcentral. Lineage: Eukaryota; Fungi; Ascomycota; Sordariomycetes; Amphisphaeriales; Sporocadaceae.
UUGACCUCGGAUCAGGUAGGAAUACCCGCUGAACUUAAGCAUAUCAAUACG